CAAUAAAACAAGAAACAGCAAAAUAAUUCCAGUUUUGCAGCAAAUCACUUUGAACUAUACCUCUGAUGUCCUGGGGGAUAUUCUUUCUUUGCCUCUGCCUAGGGGUGCUUGAGGUGAAGUUUAAGAAGCACCAUCAAGGCUGCAUAAGUUGCUUCAAUAUGAAUGGUGCCACUUGGAGUUGUGGCCUGAAGAAGCCUUAAGCUCUGUGAAGCCACUAGGAGUAGUUUAUACCUGGAUGUGGAUGAAAGAUCUAAGAGGAAAUUUUGGUGACCGUGAGUGGAAGUGGAUGUGAUAAGGCUGAGAACAGGAGAGGACUGAGGGAGAAGAAGGGGCAGAAUUGAGAAGGGAUAAACACUCAGAUAGCUGCCAACUCACUGCCUCGCCAGGCAAGGAUGCAGGGAACAUCUUUGCACAUGUCCCCAUAUGGACCCAUGUGAAAAGUUAUUUGGAGUAUAUAACAGGAAG
RNAcentral lists this long non-coding RNA (465 nucleotides) under Equus asinus (donkey). RNAcentral's name for it is "lncRNA (ENSEASG00005033611.1)". Lineage: Eukaryota; Metazoa; Chordata; Mammalia; Perissodactyla; Equidae. The record is from RNAcentral.